RNAcentral lists this ribosomal RNA (2902 nucleotides) under Escherichia coli O104:H4 str. 11-02030. RNAcentral describes it as "bacterial LSU rRNA". It matches the Rfam family "Bacterial large subunit ribosomal RNA". RNAcentral also lists the same sequence under 1 other name. Lineage: Bacteria; Pseudomonadati; Pseudomonadota; Gammaproteobacteria; Enterobacterales; Enterobacteriaceae. The record is from RNAcentral.
UUAAGCGACUAAGCGUACACGGUGGAUGCCCUGGCAGUCAGAGGCGAUGAAGGACGUGCUAAUCUGCGAUAAGCGUCGGUAAGGUGAUAUGAACCGUUAUAACCGGCGAUUUCCGAAUGGGGAAACCCAGUGUGAUUCGUCACACUAUCAUUAACUGAAUCCAUAGGUUAAUGAGGCGAACCGGGGGAACUGAAACAUCUAAGUACCCCGAGGAAAAGAAAUCAACCGAGAUUCCCCCAGUAGCGGCGAGCGAACGGGGAGCAGCCCAGAGCCUGAAUCAGUGUGUGUGUUAGUGGAAGCGUCUGGAAAGGCGCGCGAUACAGGGUGACAGCCCCGUACACAAAAAUGCACAUGCUGUGAGCUCGAUGAGUAGGGCGGGACACGUGGUAUCCUGUCUGAAUAUGGGGGGACCAUCCUCCAAGGCUAAAUACUCCUGACUGACCGAUAGUGAACCAGUACCGUGAGGGAAAGGCGAAAAGAACCCCGGCGAGGGGAGUGAAAAAGAACCUGAAACCGUGUACGUACAAGCAGUGGGAGCACGCUUAGGCGUGUGACUGCGUACCUUUUGUAUAAUGGGUCAGCGACUUAUAUUCUGUAGCAAGGUUAACCGAAUAGGGGAGCCGAAGGGAAACCGAGUCUUAACUGGGCGUUAAGUUGCAGGGUAUAGACCCGAAACCCGGUGAUCUAGCCAUGGGCAGGUUGAAGGUUGGGUAACACUAACUGGAGGACCGAACCGACUAAUGUUGAAAAAUUAGCGGAUGACUUGUGGCUGGGGGUGAAAGGCCAAUCAAACCGGGAGAUAGCUGGUUCUCCCCGAAAGCUAUUUAGGUAGCGCCUCGUGAAUUCAUCUCCGGGGGUAGAGCACUGUUUCGGCAAGGGGGUCAUCCCGACUUACCAACCCGAUGCAAACUGCGAAUACCGGAGAAUGUUAUCACGGGAGACACACGGCGGGUGCUAACGUCCGUCGUGAAGAGGGAAACAACCCAGACCGCCAGCUAAGGUCCCAAAGUCAUGGUUAAGUGGGAAACGAUGUGGGAAGGCCCAGACAGCCAGGAUGUUGGCUUAGAAGCAGCCAUCAUUUAAAGAAAGCGUAAUAGCUCACUGGUCGAGUCGGCCUGCGCGGAAGAUGUAACGGGGCUAAACCAUGCACCGAAGCUGCGGCAGCGACGCUGAUGCGUUGUUGGGUAGGGGAGCGUUCUGUAAGCCUGUGAAGGUGUGCUGUGAGGCAUGCUGGAGGUAUCAGAAGUGCGAAUGCUGACAUAAGUAACGAUAAAGCGGGUGAAAAGCCCGCUCGCCGGAAGACCAAGGGUUCCUGUCCAACGUUAAUCGGGGCAGGGUGAGUCGACCCCUAAGGCGAGGCCGAAAGGCGUAGUCGAUGGGAAACAGGUUAAUAUUCCUGUACUUGGUGUUACUGCGAAGGGGGGACGGAGAAGGCUAUGUUGGCCGGGCGACGGUUGUCCCGGUUUAAGCGUGUAGGCUGGUUUUCCAGGCAAAUCCGGAAAAUCAAGGCUGAGGCGUGAUGACGAGGCACUACGGUGCUGAAGCAACAAAUGCCCUGCUUCCAGGAAAAGCCUCUAAGCAUCAGGUAACAUCAAAUCGUACCCCAAACCGACACAGGUGGUCAGGUAGAGAAUACCAAGGCGCUUGAGAGAACUCGGGUGAAGGAACUAGGCAAAAUGGUGCCGUAACUUCGGGAGAAGGCACGCUGAUAUGUAGGUGAAGUCCCUCGCGGAUGGAGCUGAAAUCAGUCGAAGAUACCAGCUGGCUGCAACUGUUUAUUAAAAACACAGCACUGUGCAAACACGAAAGUGGACGUAUACGGUGUGACGCCUGCCCGGUGCCGGAAGGUUAAUUGAUGGGGUUAGCGCAAGCGAAGCUCUUGAUCGAAGCCCCGGUAAACGGCGGCCGUAACUAUAACGGUCCUAAGGUAGCGAAAUUCCUUGUCGGGUAAGUUCCGACCUGCACGAAUGGCGUAAUGAUGGCCAGGCUGUCUCCACCCGAGACUCAGUGAAAUUGAACUCGCUGUGAAGAUGCAGUGUACCCGCGGCAAGACGGAAAGACCCCGUGAACCUUUACUAUAGCUUGACACUGAACAUUGAGCCUUGAUGUGUAGGAUAGGUGGGAGGCUUUGAAGUGUGGACGCCAGUCUGCAUGGAGCCGACCUUGAAAUACCACCCUUUAAUGUUUGAUGUUCUAACGUUGACCCGUAAUCCGGGUUGCGGACAGUGUCUGGUGGGUAGUUUGACUGGGGCGGUCUCCUCCUAAAGAGUAACGGAGGAGCACGAAGGUUGGCUAAUCCUGGUCGGACAUCAGGAGGUUAGUGCAAUGGCAUAAGCCAGCUUGACUGCGAGCGUGACGGCGCGAGCAGGUGCGAAAGCAGGUCAUAGUGAUCCGGUGGUUCUGAAUGGAAGGGCCAUCGCUCAACGGAUAAAAGGUACUCCGGGGAUAACAGGCUGAUACCGCCCAAGAGUUCAUAUCGACGGCGGUGUUUGGCACCUCGAUGUCGGCUCAUCACAUCCUGGGGCUGAAGUAGGUCCCAAGGGUAUGGCUGUUCGCCAUUUAAAGUGGUACGCGAGCUGGGUUUAGAACGUCGUGAGACAGUUCGGUCCCUAUCUGCCGUGGGCGCUGGAGAACUGAGGGGGGCUGCUCCUAGUACGAGAGGACCGGAGUGGACGCAUCACUGGUGUUCGGGUUGUCAUGCCAAUGGCACUGCCCGGUAGCUAAAUGCGGAAGAGAUAAGUGCUGAAAGCAUCUAAGCACGAAACUUGCCCCGAGAUGAGUUCUCCCUGACUCCUUGAGAGUCCUGAAGGAACGUUGAAGACGACGACGUUGAUAGGCCGGGUGUGUAAGCGCAGCGAUGCGUUGAGCUAACCGGUACUAAUGAACCGUGAGGCUUAACCUU